ACAUGCAAGUCGAACGGCAGCGGGGGCUUCGGCCUGCCGGCGAGUGGCGAACGGGUGAGUAAUGCAUCGGAACGUACCCAUUCAUGGGGGAUAACUACGCGAAAGCGUAGCUAAUACCGCAUACGCCCUGAGGGGGAAAGCGGGGGAUCUUUCGGGACCUCGCGUGAUUGGAGCGGCCGAUGUCGGAUUAGCUAGUUGGUGGGGUAAAGGCCUACCAAGGCCACGAUCCGUAGCUGGUCUGAGAGGAUGAUCAGCCACACUGGGACUGAGACACGGCCCAGACUCCUACGGGAGGCAGCAGUGGGGAAUUUUGGACAAUGGGGGCAACCCUGAUCCAGCCAUGCCGCGUGAGUGAAGAAGGCCUUCGGGUUGUAAAGCUCUUUCAGUUGGGAAGAAAAGGUGCCCUCUAACAUAGGGUGCUGCUGACGGUACCGACAGAAGAAGCACCGGCUAACUACGUGCCAGCAGCCGCGGUAAUACGUAGGGUGCGAGCGUUAAUCGGAAUUACUGGGCGUAAAGCGUGCGCAGGCGGUUCGCUAAGACAGGUGUGAAAUCCCCGGGCUUAACCUGGGAACUGCGCUUGUGACUGGCGGGCUACAGUACGGCA
RNAcentral lists this ribosomal RNA (607 nucleotides) under uncultured Azoarcus sp. RNAcentral describes it as "bacterial SSU rRNA". It matches the Rfam family "Bacterial small subunit ribosomal RNA", at positions 53 to 653 of the family's 1533-position model. Lineage: Bacteria; Pseudomonadati; Pseudomonadota; Betaproteobacteria; Rhodocyclales; Zoogloeaceae. The record is from RNAcentral.